RNAcentral lists this small nucleolar RNA (118 nucleotides) under Otolemur garnettii (small-eared galago). Lineage: Eukaryota; Metazoa; Chordata; Mammalia; Primates; Galagidae. The record is from RNAcentral.
GUUGACGUCUGUCCUAAUGGGGCAUUCUCUGUAGGUGUACACCAUUGGAAAUGCCUAUUAUAGUGACUUUGUGGUUUACUUUACUCACAGGAUUAUCUGUCAGAUCUACACGACAGAU